GAUGAACGCUGGCGGCGUGCCUAAUACAUGCAAGUCGAGCGAACGGACGAGAAGCUUGCUUCUCUGAUGUUAGCGGCGGACGGGUGAGUAACACGUGGAUAACCUACCUAUAAGACUGGGAUAACUUCGGGAAACCGGAGCUAAUACCGGAUAAUAUUUUGAACCGCAUGGUUCAAAAGUGAAAGACGGUCUUGCUGUCACUUAUAGAUGGAUCCGCGCUGCAUUAGCUAGUUGGUAAGGUAACGGCUUACCAAGGCAACGAUGCAUAGCCGACCUGAGAGGGUGAUCGGCCACACUGGAACUGAGACACGGUCCAGACUCCUACGGGAGGCAGCAGUAGGGAAUCUUCCGCAAUGGGCGAAAGCCUGACGGAGCAACGCCGCGUGAGUGAUGAAGGUCUUCGGAUCGUAAAACUCUGUUAUUAGGGAAGAACAUAUGUGUAAGUAACUGUGCACAUCUUGACGGUACCUAAUCAGAAAGCCACGGCUAACUACGUGCCAGCAGCCGCGGUAAUACGUAGGUGGCAAGCGUUAUCCGGAAUUAUUGGGCGUAAAGCGCGCGUAGGCGGUUUUUUAAGUCUGAUGUGAAAGCCCACGGCUCAACCGUGGAGGGUCAUUGGAAACUGGAAAACUUGAGUGCAGAAGAGGAAAGUGGAAUUCCAUGUGUAGCGGUGAAAUGCGCAGAGAUAUGGAGGAACACCAGUGGCGAAGGCGACUUUCUGGUCUGUAACUGACGCUGAUGUGCGAAAGCGUGGGGAUCAAACAGGAUUAGAUACCCUGGUAGUCCACGCCGUAAACGAUGAGAGCUAAGUGUUAGGGGGUUUCCGCCCCUUAGUGCUGCAGCUAACGCAUUAAGCACUCCGCCUGGGGAGUACGACCGCAAGGUUGAAACUCAAAGGAAUUGACGGGGACCCGCACAAGCGGUGGAGCAUGUGGUUUAAUUCGAAGCAACGCGAAGAACCUUACCAAAUCUUGACAUCCUUUGACAACUCUAGAGAUAGAGCCUUCCCCUUCGGGGGACAAAGUGACAGGUGGUGCAUGGUUGUCGUCAGCUCGUGUCGUGAGAUGUUGGGUUAAGUCCCGCAACGAGCGCAACCCUUAAGCUUAGUUGCCAUCAUUGAGUUGGGCACUCUAAGUUGACUGCCGGUGACAAACCGGAGGAAGGUGGGGAUGACGUCAAAUCAUCAUGCCCCUUAUGAUUUGGGCUACACACGUGCUACAAUGGACAAUACAAAGGGCAGCGAAACCGCGAGGUCAAGCAAAUCCCAUAAAGUUGUUCUCAGUUCGGAUUGUAGUCUGCAACUCGACUACAUGAAGCUGGAAUCGCUAGUAAUCGUAGAUCAGCAUGCUACGGUGAAUACGUUCCCGGGUCU
Molecule: ribosomal RNA, 1372 nt
Filed under: uncultured bacterium
Lineage: Bacteria
Description: bacterial SSU rRNA
Rfam family: Bacterial small subunit ribosomal RNA
Source: RNAcentral